AAGGAGCUUGCUCCUUCGACGUUAGCGGCGGACGGGUGAGUAACACGUGGGCAACCUACCCUAUAGUUUGGGAUAACUCCGGGAAACCGGGGCUAAUACCGAAUCAUCUCUUAUGCUUCAUGGUAAAAGACUAAAAGACGGUUUCGGCUGUCGCUAUAAGAUGGGCCCGCGGCGCAUUAUCUAGUUGGUGAGGUAAUGGCUCACCAGGGCGACGAUGCGUACCCGACCUGAGAGGGUGAUCGGCCACACUGGGACUGAGACACGGCCCACACUCCUACGGGAGGCAGCAGUAGGGAAUCUUCCACAAUGGGCGAAAGCCUGAUGGAGCAACGCCGCGUGAGUGAAGAAGGUUUUCAGAUCGUAAAACUCUGUUGUAAGGGAAGAACAAGUACAGUAAUAACUGGCUGUACCUUGACGGUACCUUAUUAAAAAGCCACGGCU
Molecule: ribosomal RNA, 441 nt
Filed under: Lysinibacillus capsici
Lineage: Bacteria; Bacillati; Bacillota; Bacilli; Caryophanales; Bacillaceae
Description: bacterial SSU rRNA
Rfam family: Bacterial small subunit ribosomal RNA
Source: RNAcentral